UUCAAAAUCCUAGAGUUGAAAAGUCUAGAACUUGGCUGAAUUUCAAGCUUGGAGCUUGGAAACUGGCUCUCAGAUUAAUUUAAAAAAAUUCAAUGAAAUUCUUUAUUCUAUAUUGAUUCAUACAACAAGUACAUAAUCAAAAAUGACAGGGAGAGAAAAAAUAAGGAAACCUUGUGCUAUUCCUCUCCCAAAUUUAGAUAAGGUUACAUAUAGUCCGAAAUAGGUUAAGUCUUUACUUAUUGUUCGCUUUAGUCUUUAGUUGUUCUCUAGUUGUUCACUUCACUAAAUUUUCAGUUCUUAUAAUUUUUCUCACAAUGUAGAUUUUUAAAUUUAGUUGCUUCAAAACCAAACAUAGAAUAAAUAAUAAUAAUUAUUAUUAUCAAUAACAAAUUGCAAACAAAAUAAUUAUCGUAUGGUUUGCAACACUGCCGCGGAACAGUGGAAUCACAGAAAAUAGCGAUGUCUUUGACCUUUACUCCAAAGACCUUAAAGAUACCUCUGUUACACGUCUUUGGUUUAUUCCACCAUCGUUUAUGGGGAGAGGGAGCGAGUGAUGAUGCAGAAGAGUUGUGGUAACCAAUGCUAAAUAGCAUUACUGGAAUCGCAUAUUUUUGAGAAUCACAUUGAACAGAUGAAACUGAUGAUGCAGUAGUCUACUUAAUUCAAGCUUGGCGCGCUCGCAAAAAAUGUUUCUCUUUUGGUUUCUUCACCUUUUUUUUGUAUUUAUUUUAAAUAUUUUUUAUUUAAUAAUAUACACAUUACUUAUCAAUUUUUGUCCAGUCAUCGGCGAAUCCAGAGAUGACCGGACGCCUCACCUCUGCAAACCACGUACAACUAUGAAUCUUAUUACCUAUUAUUUAUUGUAGGUAGUUCAAUGUUUUGUCAAAAGCUAGUGUGGCAUAUGAGUAGCCCACAUGCAAACUGUGAGGCCAUUCCAGACCGUCGUAAACUUUAAGGCCGUUUCUCUAGACCGUCCUAGCUUUUUUGUGUGAUUUUUGUGUGAUUGUCAAGUUUGUAGCUCAUCAAGUUUUCAGUUGAUUUUUGUGGUGUGGUGAAGAAUACCGUUCACAGCUUAGGUAAAAGUGUCUCACCAACUCUCGACUCUUUGAAACUGCGAUCUCGUACCGGCUAGUGCCGGAAUUUAGUGCCACCCUAAUAGGAGCGCGCCUAAUUGUAGCGAGAUUCGAAGGUGAACUUUGGUGUCACAUUGUAAAAAUUUCAUAUCAAAAUCCUUAGCAUAAUCAAUCAUUCAACUUCAAUAUAUUUUGUCCAUUCAAAUAAAUUUAUUCAACCGUCAAAAUAUUUACAAUUAUAUUUUUAUAUGAUUUUGUCAUUGCCAUCUCGAUCAUACUGUUAACUGUUCCAAGGAGGAUAAUAAACUGUUCUAAUACUCUGUUACAGAAUGUAGUAUCUGUUCCAUUUUUACAUUAUUACUAUAGAAGUACUGUUUUGAUUUGAAUUAAUUAUUAUUAUACAAGAUUUACUAACUGAUCUUCACCUUCCAGUCUUAUGUUUUGUUAAGACUUUAUUAUGAGAUCAAAAUGUAAUUAUAUUUAGUAUACUGUUGAGUGUUUUUUGAAUGUGAUAAUUGAGUUUCUUAUCUAAAAUAUUUAAAAGUGAAUCUGAAUAUAGAACUAUCUUUUUGCAAAUAUUUCUGUAAUAGCCGGUCUUGAGCUGUUCUUGAAGAAUGAAGUGCAAGAAUAUUCCGGCUGAGUUCCAUCGUGAAAGAGUUGGCGUUGCAUCUAGUGCAGAUGCUCGAUUCACCCAUAACAAGAUCGAAGUUGAACUGGUUUGUCGCCGCUUCAACGGAACUUGCUAUUAUACCACACAACCAAGAAUAUCACCAUCUAUUUCACUUGACUAUUCCGUAUGGAUUGGUGAUUUAUACACUUUGACUGUUCUGUACUGUAUGGAAUUUGAGUAUUCAUAAGAAUGACUUGUCUUAUACUCCCUCCUGAAGUCUCCAAGACGAAAUCUUAAAAAAAAUCUAGUCUAUACACCAGGCUUCAUCAUAGAUUACUUCUGCUCAGACUUGGAUUACCAUGCUAUAAUAAGUCAAUUGAUAACAUCUCCGAUAUGUCAAUAAUCCUCAUUUUAUAGUAAACCCUUGAGAUUGAAGUGCUAGAUGAAUUACUUGAAAAGGUGACGGUCAACCCGAAUUUAUGUUUCUUGAAUUAUCUUUGUUCGGUUGUGAAUCACCCAGAAUUGUGCAUGGGUUUUUGCCAGAUCAAUGCGAAUGAAGUUUACCAUAAAAAUAUUUUAAGGGACGGUUUCCGAGCUCGGGAUUUAGCUAAGUUCUAGACUUUAAACAGCUGGAGUCAGAAAACUGGCUUUCCGAAACGGGGCCUCGUCGUAGUCCACGUUUAAAUUAAA
RNAcentral lists this unclassified non-coding RNA (2373 nucleotides) under Nilaparvata lugens (brown planthopper). RNAcentral describes it as "uncharacterized LOC120354915, transcript variant X2". Lineage: Eukaryota; Metazoa; Arthropoda; Insecta; Hemiptera; Delphacidae. The record is from RNAcentral.